Molecule: ribosomal RNA, 465 nt
Filed under: Acinetobacter sp. oral taxon C51
Lineage: Bacteria; Pseudomonadati; Pseudomonadota; Gammaproteobacteria; Moraxellales; Moraxellaceae
Description: bacterial SSU rRNA
Rfam family: Bacterial small subunit ribosomal RNA
Source: RNAcentral
AUUGAACGCUGGCGGCAGGCUUAACACAUGCAAGUCGAGCGGAGCGAGGGUGCUUGCACCUUAGCUUAGCGGCGGACGGGUGAGUAAUGCUUAGGAAUCUGCCUAUUAGUGGGGGACAACAUUCCGAAAGGGAUGCUAAUACCGCAUACGCCCUACGGGGGAAAGCAGGGGAUCUUCGGACCUUGCGCUAAUAGAUGAGCCUAAGUCGGAUUAGCUAGUUGGUGGGGUAAAGGCCUACCAAGGCGACGAUCUGUAGCGGGUCUGAGAGGAUGAUCCGCCACACUGGGACUGAGACACGGCCCAGACUCCUACGGGAGGCAGCAGUGGGGAAUAUUGGACAAUGGGCGGAAGCCUGAUCCAGCCAUGCCGCGUGUGUGAAGAAGGCCUUUUGGUUGUAAAGCACUUUAAGCGAGGAGGAGGCGCUCUAGGAUAAUACCCUAGAUGCGUGGACGUACUCGCAGAUAG